RNAcentral lists this ribosomal RNA (800 nucleotides) under Bacillus sp. CO41. Its description in RNAcentral is "bacterial SSU rRNA". It matches the Rfam family "Bacterial small subunit ribosomal RNA", at positions 385 to 1178 of the family's 1533-position model. The record is from RNAcentral. Lineage: Bacteria; Bacillati; Bacillota; Bacilli; Caryophanales; Bacillaceae. RNAcentral also lists the same sequence under 2 other names.
GACGGAGCAACGCCGCGUGAGUGAUGAAGGUUUUCGGAUCGUAAAGCUCUGUUGUUAGGGAAGAACAAGUGCAAGAGUAACUGCUUGCACCUUGACGGUACCUAACCAGAAAGCCACGGCUAACUACGUGCCAGCAGCCGCGGUAAUACGUAGGUGGCAAGCGUUGUCCGGAAUUAUUGGGCGUAAAGGGCUCGCAGGCGGUUUCUUAAGUCUGAUGUGAAAGCCCCCGGCUCAACCGGGGAGGGUCAUUGGAAACUGGGAAACUUGAGUGCAGAAGAGGAGAGUGGAAUUCCACGUGUAGCGGUGAAAUGCGUAGAGAUGUGGAGGAACACCAGUGGCGAAGGCGACUCUCUGGUCUGUAACUGACGCUGAGGAGCGAAAGCGUGGGGAGCGAACAGGAUUAGAUACCCUGGUAGUCCACGCCGUAAACGAUGAGUGCUAAGUGUUAGGGGGUUUCCGCCCCUUAGUGCUGCAGCUAACGCAUUAAGCACUCCGCCUGGGGAGUACGGUCGCAAGACUGAAACUCAAAGGAAUUGACGGGGGCCCGCACAAGCGGUGGAGCAUGUGGUUUAAUUCGAAGCAACGCGAAGAACCUUACCAGGUCUUGACAUCCUCUGACAACCCUAGAGAUAGGGCUUUCCCUUCGGGGACAGAGUGACAGGUGGUGCAUGGUUGUCGUCAGCUCGUGUCGUGAGAUGUUGGGUUAAGUCCCGCAACGAGCGCAACCCUUGAUCUUAGUUGCCAGCAUUUAGUUGGGCACUCUAAGGUGACUGCCGGUGACAAACCGGAGGAAGGUGGGG